GAUGAACGCUGGCGGCGUGCCUAAUACAUGCAAGUCGAGCGAACGGACGAUACGCUUGCUUCUCUGAUCUUAGCGGCGGACGGGUGAGUAACACGUGGAUAACCUACCUAUCAGACUGGGAUAACUUCGGGAAACUGGAGCUCAUACCGGAUGAUAUUUUGAUCCGCAUGGUUCAAAAGUGAAAGACGGACUUGCUGUCACUUAUAGCUGCAUCCGCGCUGCAUUAGCUAGUUGGUAAGGUAACGGCUUACCAAGGCAACGAUGCAUAGCCGACCUGAGAGGGUGAUCGGCCACACUGGAACUGGGACACGGUCCAGACUCCUACGGAAGGCAGCAGUAGGGAAUCUUCCGCAAUGAGCGAAGGCCUGACGGGGCAACGCCGCGUGAGUGAUGAAGGUCUUCGGAUCGUAAAACUCUGUUAUUAGGGAAGAACAUAUUUGUAAGUAACUGUGCACAUCUUGACGGUACCUAAUCAGAAAGCCACGGCUAACUACGUG
RNAcentral lists this ribosomal RNA (497 nucleotides) under uncultured bacterium. Its description in RNAcentral is "partial 16S ribosomal RNA". It matches the Rfam family "Bacterial small subunit ribosomal RNA", at positions 28 to 507 of the family's 1533-position model. The record is from RNAcentral.